AAGCAUCCAGGUCAGACAAAAGCGAUCCAUGGUCGAUAAAAUAACCCUUUCUAGGUUCAACUGAUUCCGAGGGCAGGAGGUUGUGUUCUGCCUGAGGUUGUACGGGCGUAACUCCUUCAAUCUUUGAUCACUGAUGACUAAGAAACAGACUGGUAAAGAUCUUGGACACUGCUGUCGUUCUUCCAUAAUUACCACAACCUCAUCCGUACAUUUUCUUUUACUUGGGGAUGCAUUAUAGGAUAUUUUACUAUGCACUACUAGUCUACUACUAGUGGCUAACACCUAAAUUACUUGUAUUGUAAUGCAUGUGUGUUGGAGUAAUUUGUAGUGCGCAAUUUCCAGAAAUACCACGCUUGAGAUAAACAUUAUGUGCCUGUAUGUAAUACAUUUAACGUAUUUUUGACUUGUACCACUAUUUUGUGCUGAGAAGAGAUGCAGUGACCUCUAACUUUGCUGAUGCUGCACAUGAUGAUGUGUGUUCAGUGAAUGAUUCUUCUUUUGAA
Hordeum vulgare subsp. vulgare (domesticated barley) is the source of this 503-nucleotide long non-coding RNA. RefSeq lists it as uncharacterized. The record is from RefSeq and is a predicted model, not a curated record. The transcript is spliced from 2 exons. Lineage: Eukaryota; Viridiplantae; Streptophyta; Magnoliopsida; Poales; Poaceae.